RNAcentral lists this ribosomal RNA (253 nucleotides) under uncultured prokaryote. RNAcentral describes it as "partial 16S ribosomal RNA". It matches the Rfam family "Bacterial small subunit ribosomal RNA", at positions 524 to 776 of the family's 1533-position model. The record is from RNAcentral.
UACGGGGGGGGCAAGCGUUGUUCGGAAUUACUGGGCGUAAAGGGCGCGUAGGCGGUUUGCUAAGUUGGAUGUGAAAACUCUGGGCUUAACCCAGAGCCUGCAUCCAAAACUGGCUAACUUGAGUACUGGAGGGGAGAGCGGAAUUCCUGGUGUAGCGGUGAAAUGCGUAGAUAUCUGGAGGAACACCGGUGGCGAAGGCGGCAUCCUGGACCGACACUGACGCUGAGGAGCGAAAGCCAGGGGAGCAAACGGG